RNAcentral lists this ribosomal RNA (253 nucleotides) under uncultured bacterium. RNAcentral's name for it is "partial 16S ribosomal RNA". It matches the Rfam family "Bacterial small subunit ribosomal RNA", at positions 524 to 776 of the family's 1533-position model. The record is from RNAcentral.
UACGGAGGGUGCGAGCGUUGUUCGGAAUCACUGGGCGUAAAGCGCGUGUAGGCGGCCUGCUAAGUCUGAUGUGAAAGCCCGAGGCUCACCCUCGGAAGGGCAUUGGAAACUGGCAGACUGGAGUCCCGGAGAGGAGGGUGGAAUUCCUGGUGUAGCGGUGAAAUGCGUAGAUAUCAGGAGGAACACCGGUGGCGAAGGCGGCCCUCUGGACGGUGACUGACGCUGAGACGCGAAAGCGUGGGGAGCAAACAGG